This 253-nucleotide ribosomal RNA is filed under the name uncultured archaeon. RNAcentral describes it as "partial 16S ribosomal RNA". It matches the Rfam family "Archaeal small subunit ribosomal RNA", at positions 474 to 727 of the family's 1478-position model. The record is from RNAcentral.
UACCUGCAGACCAAGUGGUGACUGUUAUUAUUGGGCCUAAAACGUCCGUAGCCGGUCCUGUAAAUGCCUGGGUAAAUUGUAUAGCUUAACUAUACGACUUCCGGGUAGACUGCAGGACUUGAGAUCGGGAGAGGAUAGAGGUACUCCUGGGGUAGAGGUGAAAUUCUGUAAUCCUAGGGGGACCACCAGUGGCGAAGGCGUCUAUCUAGAACGAGUCUGACGGUCAGGGACGAAGCCCUGGGGCGCAAACGGG